This 711-nucleotide ribosomal RNA is filed under the name Paracoccus sp. (in: a-proteobacteria). Its description in RNAcentral is "bacterial SSU rRNA". It matches the Rfam family "Bacterial small subunit ribosomal RNA", at positions 27 to 725 of the family's 1533-position model. Lineage: Bacteria; Pseudomonadati; Pseudomonadota; Alphaproteobacteria; Rhodobacterales; Paracoccaceae. The record is from RNAcentral.
GAUUGAACGCUAGCGGGAUGCUUUACACAUGCAAGUCGAACGGCAGCGCAAAGAAAGCUUGCUUUCUUGGGCGGCGAGUGGCGAACGGGUGAGUAAUGUAUCGGAACGUACCCAGUAGCGGGGGAUAACUACGCGAAAGCGUGGCUAAUACCGCAUACGCCCUACGGGGGAAAGGGGGGGAUCGCAAGACCUCUCACUAUUGGAGCGGCCGAUAUCGGAUUAGCUAGUUGGUGGGGUAAAGGCCUACCAAGGCGACGAUCCGUAGCUGGUUUGAGAGGACGACCAGCCACACUGGGACUGAGACACGGCCCAGACUCCUACGGGAGGCAGCAGUGGGGAAUUUUGGACAAUGGGGGCAACCCUGAUCCAGCCAUCCCGCGUGUGCGAUGAAGGCCUUCGGGUUGUAAAGCACUUUUGGCAGGGAAGAAAAGGCUCUGGAUAAUACCUGGAGCCGCUGACGGUACCUGCAGAAUAAGCACCGGCUAACUACGUGCCAGCAGCCGCGGUAAUACGUAGGGUGCAAGCGUUAAUCGGAAUUACUGGGCGUAAAGCGUGCGCAGGCGGUUCGGAAAGAAAGAUGUGAAAUCCCAGGGCUUAACCUUGGAACUGCAUUUUUAACUACCGGGCUAGAGUACGUCAGAGGGGGGUAGAAUUCCACGUGUAGCAGUGAAAUGCGUAGAGAUGUGGAGGAAUACCGAUGGCGAAGGCAGC